Molecule: ribosomal RNA, 617 nt
Filed under: uncultured bacterium
Lineage: Bacteria
Description: bacterial SSU rRNA
Rfam family: Bacterial small subunit ribosomal RNA
Source: RNAcentral
CCUACGGGAGGCAGCAGUAGGGAAUCUUCCGCAAUGGACGAAAGUCUGACGGAGCAACGCCGCGUGAACGAUGAAGGCCUUCGGGUCGUAAAGUUCUGUUGUUAGGGAAGAACAAGUGCUAGUUAAAUAAGCUGGCACCUUGACGGUACCUAACCAGAAAGCCACGGCUAACUACGUGCCAGCAGCCGCGGUAAUACGUAGGUGGCAAGCGUUGUCCGGAAUUAUUGGGCGUAAAGCGCGCGCAGGCGGUUUCUUAAGUCUGAUGUGAAAGCCCCCGGCUCAACCGGGGAGGGUCAUUGGAAACUGGGAAACUUGAGUGCAGAAGAGGAAAGUGGAAUUCCAAGUGUAGCGGUGAAAUGCGUAGAGAUUUGGAGGAACACCAGUGGCGAAGGCGACUUUCUGGUCUGUAACUGACGCUGAGGCGCGAAAGCGUGGGGAGCAAACAGGAUUAGAUACCCUGGUAGUCCACGCUGUAAACGAUGAGUGCUAAGUGUUAAAGGGUUUCCGCCCUUUAGUGCUGAAGUUAACGCAUUAAGCACUCCGCCUGGGGAGUACGGUCGCAAAGCUGAAACUUAAAUGAAUUGACGGNUGAGAGNGCGAGCGACGACGAGGAGAGG